CGAGUUGGCCGGGCGGCCGCGGGAGCUAAUCCUUCCGAGGAACGUCCGGGCUCCACAGGGAACGGUGGUGGAUAACGUCCACUCGGGGUGACCCGCAGGCUAGUGCCACAGAAAGUAAACCGCCGAAAGGUAAGGGUGAAAGGGGGAGGCAAGAGCUCACCGCGUGGCCAGUGAUGGUCGCGGCACGGUAAACCCCACCGGGAGCAAAACCGAGCAGCGCACGUUGAGGCGUCCCGCUCAGUGCGCGGGUUGGUUGCUUGAGCCUGUCGGUAACGGCAGGCCUAGAUGGAUGGUCGCCGCGUGCAAAGCCCAAGGGACUAGCACGUACAGAACCCGGCGUAUAGGCCAACUCGCGCC
RNAcentral lists this RNase P RNA (357 nucleotides) under Actinomycetaceae bacterium. RNAcentral describes it as "RNase P RNA component class A". It matches the Rfam family "Bacterial RNase P class A". Rfam says of the family: Ribonuclease P (RNase P) is a ubiquitous endoribonuclease, found in archaea, bacteria and eukarya as well as chloroplasts and mitochondria. Its best characterised activity is the generation of mature 5'-ends of tRNAs by cleaving the 5'-leader elements of precursor-tRNAs. Lineage: Bacteria; Bacillati; Actinomycetota; Actinomycetes; Actinomycetales; Actinomycetaceae. The record is from RNAcentral.